RNAcentral lists this ribosomal RNA (396 nucleotides) under uncultured bacterium. RNAcentral's name for it is "partial 16S ribosomal RNA". It matches the Rfam family "Bacterial small subunit ribosomal RNA", at positions 523 to 918 of the family's 1533-position model. The record is from RNAcentral.
AUACGUAGGGAGCGAGCGUUGUCCGGGAUUACUGGGUGUAAAGGGAGCGUAGGCGGGAGUGCAAGUCAGAUGUGAAAUACAUGGGCUCAACCCAUGGGCUGCAUUUGAAACUGCAUUUCUUGAGUGAAGUAGAGGUAAGCGGAAUUCCUGGUGUAGCGGUGAAAUGCGUAGAUAUCAGGAGGAACACCGGUGGCGAAGGCGGCUUACUGGGCUUUUACUGACGCUGAGGCUCGAAAGCGUGGGGAGCAAACAGGAUUAGAUACCCUGGUAGUCCACGCUGUAAACGAUGAUUACUAGGUGUGGGGGGACUGACCCCUUCCGUGCCGCAGUUAACACAAUAAGUAAUCCACCUGGGGAGUACGGCCGCAAGGUUGAAACUCAAAUGAAUUGACGGGG